CCUACGGGUGGCAGCAGUGGGGAAUAUUGCACAAUGGGGGAAACCCUGAUGCAGCAACGCCGCGUGAGUGAAGAAGUAUUUCGGUAUGUAAAGCUCUAUCAGCAGGGAAGAAAAUGACAGUACCUGAAUAAGAAGCACCGGCUAACUACGUGCCAGCAGCCGCGUUAAUACGUAGGGGGCAAGCGUUAUCCGGAUUUCCUGGGAGUAAAGGGAGCGUAGGCGGCUGCGCAAGUCAGAAGUGAAAGCCCAGGGCUCAACCUCGGGACUGCUUUUGAAACUGUGUAGCUAGAGUGCAGGAGAGGUAAAUGGAAUUCCUAGGGUAGCGGUGAAAUGCGUAGAUAUUAGGAAGAACACCGGUGGCGAAGGCGGCUUACUGGACUGUAACUGACGUUGAGGCUCGAAAGCGUGGGGAGCAAACAGGAUUAGAUACCCCUGUAGUC
This 440-nucleotide ribosomal RNA is filed under the name uncultured bacterium. RNAcentral's name for it is "partial 16S ribosomal RNA". It matches the Rfam family "Bacterial small subunit ribosomal RNA", at positions 338 to 795 of the family's 1533-position model. The record is from RNAcentral.